CGCAAGAUUAAAACUCAAAUGAAUUGACGGGGGCCCGCACAAGCGGUGGAGCAUGUGGUUUAAUUCGAUGCAACGCGAAGAACCUUACCUACUCUUGACAUCCAGAGAACUUUCCAGAGAUGGAUUGGUGCCUUCGGGAACUCUGAGACAGGUGCUGCAUGGCUGUCGUCAGCUCGUGUUGUGAAAUGUUGGGUUAAGUCCCGCAACGAGCGCAACCCUUAUCCUUGUUUGCCAGCACUUCGGGUGGGAACUCCAGGGAGACUGCCGGUGAUAAACCGGAGGAAGGUGGGGACGACGUCAAGUCAUCAUGGCCCUUACGAGUAGGGCUACACACGUGCUACAAUGGCGCAUACAGAGGGCAGCCAACUUGCGAGAGUGAGCGAAUCCCAAAAAGUGCGUCGUAGUCCGGAUCGGAGUCUGCAACUCGACUCCGUGAAGUCGGAAUCGCUAGUAAUCGUGGAUCAGAAUGCCACGGUGAAUACGUUCCCGGGCCUUGUACACACCGCCCGUCACACCAUGGGAGUGGGCUGCAAAAGAAGUAGGUAGUUUAACCUUCGGGAGGACGCUUAC
Molecule: ribosomal RNA, 570 nt
Filed under: Vibrio sp.
Lineage: Bacteria; Pseudomonadati; Pseudomonadota; Gammaproteobacteria; Vibrionales; Vibrionaceae
Description: bacterial SSU rRNA
Rfam family: Bacterial small subunit ribosomal RNA
Source: RNAcentral